GUAGGUGGCAAGCGUUGUCCGGAAUUAUUGGGCGUGAAGCGCGCGCAGGCGGUCCUUUAAGUCUGAUGUGAAAGCCCACGGCUCAACCGUGGAGGGUCAUUGGAAACUGGGGGACUUGAGUACAGAAGAGGAAAGCGGAAUUCCACGUGUAGCGGUGAAAUGCGUAGAGAUGUGGAGGAACACCAGUGGCGAAGGCGGCUUUCUGGUCUGUAACUGACGCUGAGGCGCGAAAGCGUGGGGGAGCAAACAGGAUUAGAUACCCUGGUAGUCCACGCCGUAAACGAUGAGUGCUAAGUGUUAGGGGGUUUCCGCCCCUUAGUGCUGCAGCUAACGCAUUAAGCACUCCGCCUGGGAGUACGGCCGCAAGGCUG
RNAcentral lists this ribosomal RNA (371 nucleotides) under uncultured organism. RNAcentral describes it as "partial 16S ribosomal RNA". It matches the Rfam family "Bacterial small subunit ribosomal RNA", at positions 527 to 896 of the family's 1533-position model. The record is from RNAcentral.